AUCCAAACCAGCAAAAAUACUCUCAGCUGAGCUCCAGGUGCCCUCUGAGGCCAGACACCUCUGCUGACCUUGUCCAGCCCUCGUGCUGGAUUGCUGGGCUGAUCUCAGCAAAGGAGCUUAAAGGCUGAAUGCAGCUCCCAGGAAAUCUUGGACAAUUCAGCUGACCAGUACAAGAGAGCGAAAUUCAUCUGUUUGUAUCUGUGGUGUGAUGAUCCGGAGUCCCCCAGAUGGAAGAUGCAUGGAGGGAGGAUCGGCUGUGUUUGAGCAGGGAGCUCAGUAAACAAAUACAUCAAUCAUGGGAAAAUCUCCUCCAGAAUGUGCACCGUCAGAGACAGCCGCCAAGGCAGUUAAAAGGAAGCAAUUUUCCACAGUGCUUGGAGAGAUGCUGCAGAGCAGAUCCAGAGGUGCAAGGAGCAUUGCUGUGGAGCAGCCUUGGCACCCAGCUCACAGCCCGGUGAGGACUUGGCUGGAGGCAGCUCAGACCCUCCAGACACGCUGAUGUGGUGACUAAAGCUCCUACUGGGAGUUCCAGCCAUGCCCUCAAUUCCCACUGCUCCUGUCCCCCACCUCCCACUGUUCCUGACCCCCCAGCCUUCUCCAGGGCUGCUCAGCAGGUGCUGCUUUGUUCUUCCCACUUUUGAAGGUGCAGAUGGAGGUGUGGGGUCAGCCCUCUGCAGUCUCUGCUGCAGACAAAUCCAGGUCAUGGCCCUCCUAGGAACCCCCCUGGACCUCCAGGAGCUCUUACAGGAUGCAGGGUGCCCAGCUGGCCCAGCCCUGAGGGCCACGGCGGUGUGGGCUGUGCCAGGGUUUCCCGAUGUUCCUGCUCUGUUCCGAUGAAACAUUAUACAGAAAGAUAUAGGCAAAGCAUUACGCUUACAGCCUUUGCCAACAAGUUAUGUUUUAAUGUAAUUUAACUGUAAUCUCAGAGUGUUUUUGUUAGCUAUAAUUAGUAAAAUAUGUCUGUUUUCUGUGUUCCUUGAAGACGUCUGAACUCCUGCCAGUUCCCUAUAGUUUUCCUGACAUGCAGUGUAACAAGCAGACCACCAAAAUGUAUUUACCAAUAACUGUUUAUUUACAUUCCAUGAAAUCUAAUAAC
Prinia subflava (tawny-flanked prinia) is the source of this 1096-nucleotide long non-coding RNA. RefSeq lists it as uncharacterized. The record is from RefSeq and is a predicted model, not a curated record. The transcript has 4 exons. NCBI's taxonomy places the organism in Eukaryota, Metazoa, Chordata, Aves, Passeriformes, Cisticolidae.